CAAAGUGAAGAAAUUCAAUGAAGCGCGGG
RNAcentral lists this non-coding RNA (29 nucleotides) under Mus musculus (house mouse). Lineage: Eukaryota; Metazoa; Chordata; Mammalia; Rodentia; Muridae. The record is from RNAcentral. RNAcentral also lists the same sequence under 1 other name.